Peromyscus maniculatus bairdii (prairie deer mouse) is the source of this 156-nucleotide non-coding RNA. NCBI's taxonomy places the organism in Eukaryota, Metazoa, Chordata, Mammalia, Rodentia, Cricetidae. The record is from RefSeq and is a predicted model, not a curated record.
AAUGUGGUGGUAGGCCCACAGAGGCUCCCUAGGAAGACCUUACUCAAGGUCAGAGAAUCUGAGCUUGCUUUACCCAGCAGGGCUACACCAUGGGAUGAUUUGACCACGGGAGUGGUUACCAGGUGUUUUGAAGGGUCUGCACUUGGCUGUACGUGG